RNAcentral lists this ribosomal RNA (380 nucleotides) under uncultured eukaryote. Its description in RNAcentral is "partial 18S ribosomal RNA". It matches the Rfam family "Eukaryotic small subunit ribosomal RNA", at positions 592 to 976 of the family's 1831-position model. The record is from RNAcentral.
CAAUAGCGUAUAUUAAAGUUGUUGCGGUUAAAAAGCUCGUAGUUGGAUUUCUGCCGAGGACGACCGGUCCGCCCUCUGGGUGAGUAUCUGGCUCGGCCUGGGCAUCUUCUUGGAGAACGUAGCUGCACUUGACUGUGUGGUGCGGUAUCCAGGACUUUUACUUUGAGGAAAUUAGAGUGUUUCAAGCAGGCUUACGCCUUGAAUACAUUAGCAUGGAAUAAUAAGAUAGGACCUCGGUUCUAUUUUGUUGGUUUCUAGAGCUGAGGUAAUGAUUAAUAGGGAUAGUUGGGGGCAUUCGUAUUUAACUGUCAGAGGUGAAAUUCUUGGAUCUGCUAAAGACGGACAACUGCGAAAGCGUUUGCCCAGGAUGUUUUCAUUGA